GGUCCCGCGGUGUAUGAACAUGUUAGAUUGCAAAUCUUAAGAAGCAGGUUGGAGCCUGCCGGGGCUU
RNAcentral lists this transfer RNA (67 nucleotides) under Rhinophrynus dorsalis (Mexican burrowing toad). Its description in RNAcentral is "tRNA-Cys". It matches the Rfam family "tRNA". From Rfam's summary of the family: Transfer RNA (tRNA) molecules are approximately 80 nucleotides in length. Their secondary structure includes four short double-helical elements and three loops (D, anti-codon, and T loops). Further hydrogen bonds mediate the characteristic L-shaped molecular structure. tRNAs have two regions of fundamental functional importance: the anti-codon, which is responsible for specific mRNA codon recognition, and the 3' end, to which the tRNAs corresponding amino acid is attached (by aminoacyl-tRNA synthetases). tRNAs cope with the degeneracy of the genetic code in two manners: having more than one tRNA (with a specific anti-codon) for a particular amino acid; and 'wobble' base-pairing, i.e. permitting non-standard base-pairing at the 3rd anti-codon position. Lineage: Eukaryota; Metazoa; Chordata; Amphibia; Anura; Rhinophrynidae. The record is from RNAcentral.